AACAACGCAUACCUUGUAAAGAGAUCACUUCACUAUUGCUACCAUCGCCUCCUCAAGAAACACUUGCCCUUAACAUCACCAUCAUCCAUCAUGGCCCAGAUAGAAAGCUACGCUGGGGUUUCUACAGCGCCAUCUUUUGAUGAUGGAGGGGAUAAUAUCACUGUUUUUCCUUUGUCUUCAUCGUCCGUUCUCAAAAUCAACAAAGGGGAUAUCACUAAGUGGUUCGUUGAUGGCUCCUCUGAUGCUAUUGUUAAUCC
RNAcentral lists this unclassified non-coding RNA (257 nucleotides) under Hevea brasiliensis (rubber tree). The record is from RNAcentral. Lineage: Eukaryota; Viridiplantae; Streptophyta; Magnoliopsida; Malpighiales; Euphorbiaceae.